RNAcentral lists this transfer RNA (72 nucleotides) under Fukomys damarensis (Damara mole-rat). It matches the Rfam family "tRNA". From Rfam's summary of the family: Transfer RNA (tRNA) molecules are approximately 80 nucleotides in length. Lineage: Eukaryota; Metazoa; Chordata; Mammalia; Rodentia; Bathyergidae. The record is from Rfam by way of RNAcentral.
AGGGUUGUAGCUCAGUGAUAGAGCACCUGCCUACCAUGCAUGAGGGCCUAGAUUCAAUCCCUAGUACCACAA